This 86-nucleotide transfer RNA is filed under the name Ostreococcus tauri. RNAcentral's name for it is "Selenocysteine transfer RNA". It matches the Rfam family "Selenocysteine transfer RNA". Lineage: Eukaryota; Viridiplantae; Chlorophyta; Mamiellophyceae; Mamiellales; Bathycoccaceae. The record is from Rfam by way of RNAcentral.
GCCAGGGCGAGCUUCGCUGGCGCGGAGUGCGGCCUUCAAAGCCGUAGGGGCUUAGCGGCCCAGUGGUUCGAUUCCACCGACUUGGC